Molecule: long non-coding RNA, 1048 nt
Filed under: Equus asinus (donkey)
Lineage: Eukaryota; Metazoa; Chordata; Mammalia; Perissodactyla; Equidae
Description: lncRNA (ENSEASG00005030802.1)
Source: RNAcentral
GUCGACACUUGUAAUUAUUCAGCCUUCUAAUUUUUGUCAAUCUGAUGGUGCAGAACUAUAAAGUGAUAUUACGAUUUUACACUGGAUUUCUCUAAUUAUCAACAAGGAGCUGCGGCUGCCGCUGCCCAGCGUCACGCGAGAGGAUCAGACUGCAUAUCGCCAGCCCAAGAAAACGUCAAAAUUCAAAAUACGAAGUAUGGUUUCUACUAAAUGCGUAUUGCUUUUGCACCAUCGUUAAGUUGAAAAAUGGCAGGAGUGUGCACUUCUCAUCUUCCACCAUCUUUCCUGCUGGCUGCAGAAGUUAUGUCUGGCGCUAGAGCAGUCAUCUUGGACCAUGAGGUAGAAGCCAUGCACUGAAGAUGAAGAAACCACAGAGAAGGCACCUGGUUUAUUUGUCUAUACCCAGGCUAAAAGGACACUAUCCUAAUUACUGUUGCUUUAAAAUAAACCACGAUAGCUGCUAGGGCAAGUAUUCCCAUUUUAUUUUCCUCCUUUAACAGUGUCUGGGCUACUCUUGGUCCUUUGAACUACUGGAAUUUUAAAUCUGUCAACUGUGGUAAAGUGAAGAUGGUCAUAAAUUCUCUGACACUCCUCCUAUUGAGAGGUGGUCUAUUUGCCUUUCCCUUGAAUCUGGCUGGUCUUAGUGACUUAUGGUGGAAGCGGUGCUGUGUGACUUCUGAAACUGGGUCAGAAGAUGCCUUUCAGCUUCCACCUUGGUCUCUUGGAAAGCUCACUCUCCAGACACUCUCUCAAAUGACUCCCUCUCGGGUUACUCCCUCACCAUCCUGUGAGAUGUCCAGGUCACAUAGACAGGCCAUUUGUAGACGCUAUAAUUGACAGCUCCAGCUGUGUUUCUAGCCUCCAGCCAGAUUCAACAGCAUCAUGUGAGGGCGCCAUCUUAGACAGCCAGCCUUCAGAUGACUCCAGUCCUGUAGUCAACACCUGUCUGCAACCACAUUAGACGCUCUAAGAAAGGAUUAUCCAGCUGACCCCUUCCUGGAUUCCUAACCCACAAAAUUGUGAGCAAAAUAAAAUGAUUUUUAAGCCA